UCCUCCUCUCUGGCGACGACACCAAUAGGGAGAGUCUCCUCUCUCUUGGGAAGUUCGGCUUCAGGUGAUGUGCAGGGGAAGAUGAAAACAAAGGGCACUGCACGUGUUUGUUGAAGCCUAAAAAAGGCUCGAGAUGCACUGCAGUCUGGUGCGCGUGCGCGUGCAGUGCGCAAGUGCACAGGAAGCCGCCCCAUAUACAGACCGAUGUAAAAAGAUUUUUUUUAUUAAAUGUCAUUUUUUGUUCAAAUGCAGUUCUGCUGGCUGCUAGUGCUGAUUUUGUGUGUAUGUAUGCGUGUGGCUGUAAAACAACGAAUGGAUGUAUGUGUGUAUGACCAUCAUCGGCGGCCAUGAAACAAAAUGCACAAAA
Triticum urartu is the source of this 367-nucleotide non-coding RNA. Lineage: Eukaryota; Viridiplantae; Streptophyta; Magnoliopsida; Poales; Poaceae. The record is from RefSeq and is a predicted model, not a curated record.